GACGAACGCUGGCGGCGUGCCUAAUACAUGCAAGUAGAACGCUGAAGAGAGGAGCUUGCUCUUCUUGGAUGAGUUGCGAACGGGUGAGUAACGCGUAGGUAACCUGCCUGGUAGCGGGGGAUAACUAUUGGAAACGAUAGCUAAUACCGCAUAAAAUUGAUUAUUGCAUGAUAGUUAAUUGAAAGAUGCAACUGCAUCACUACCAGAUGGACCUGCGUUGUGUUAGCUAGUUGGUGAGGUAACGGCUCACCAAGGCGACGAUACAUAGCCGACCUGAGAGGGUGAUCGGCCACACUGGGACUGAGACACGGCCCAGACUCCUACGGGAGGCAGCAGGAGGGAAUCUUCGGCAAUGGGGGGAAACCUGACCGAGCAACGCCGCGGGAGUGAAGAAGGGUCUCGGAUCGUAAAGCUCUGUUUUAAGAGAAGAACGGGUGUGAGAGUGGAAAGUUCACACUGUGACGGUAUCUUACCAGAAAGGGACGGCUAACUACGUG
RNAcentral lists this ribosomal RNA (497 nucleotides) under uncultured bacterium. Its description in RNAcentral is "partial 16S ribosomal RNA". It matches the Rfam family "Bacterial small subunit ribosomal RNA", at positions 28 to 507 of the family's 1533-position model. The record is from RNAcentral.